This is a non-coding RNA of Pteropus alecto (black flying fox), 107 nucleotides long. NCBI's taxonomy places the organism in Eukaryota, Metazoa, Chordata, Mammalia, Chiroptera, Pteropodidae. The record is from Rfam.
GUGCUCCCUUUGGCAGCAUAUAUACUAAGAUUGGAAGAAUACAGAGAAGAGUAGCAUGGCCCCUGCACAAGCAUGACACACACAUUCGUGAAGCGUCCCAUAUUUUU